Molecule: RNase P RNA, 155 nt
Filed under: Pantoea sp.
Lineage: Bacteria; Pseudomonadati; Pseudomonadota; Gammaproteobacteria; Enterobacterales; Erwiniaceae
Description: partial RNase P RNA component class A
Rfam family: Bacterial RNase P class A
About the family: Ribonuclease P (RNase P) is a ubiquitous endoribonuclease, found in archaea, bacteria and eukarya as well as chloroplasts and mitochondria. Its best characterised activity is the generation of mature 5'-ends of tRNAs by cleaving the 5'-leader elements of precursor-tRNAs.
Source: RNAcentral
GAAGCUGACCAGACAGUCGCCGCUUUGUCGUCGUCCCUCUUGUAGGGAGACGGGCAGAGGGGAGGAAAGUCCGGGCUCCAUAGGGCAGGGUGCCAGGUAACGCCUGGGGGGCGCAAGCCUACGACCAGUGCAACAGAGAGCAAACCGCCGAUGGC